UACGGAGGGUGCAAGCGUUAUCCGGAUUCACUGGGUUUAAAGGGUGCGUAGGUGGGCAGGUAAGUCAGUGGUGAAAUCUCUGGGCUUAACUCAGAAACUGCCAUUGAUACUAUCUGUCUUGAAUACCGUGGAGGUCAGCGGAAUAUGUCAUGUAGCGGUGAAAUGCUUAGAUAUGACAUAGAACACCAAUUGCGAAGGCAGCUGGCUACACGAAUAUUGACACUCAGGCACGAAAGCGUGGGGAUCAAACAGG
RNAcentral lists this ribosomal RNA (253 nucleotides) under uncultured bacterium. RNAcentral's name for it is "partial 16S ribosomal RNA". It matches the Rfam family "Bacterial small subunit ribosomal RNA", at positions 524 to 776 of the family's 1533-position model. The record is from RNAcentral.